RNAcentral lists this ribosomal RNA (464 nucleotides) under uncultured bacterium. Its description in RNAcentral is "partial 16S ribosomal RNA". It matches the Rfam family "Bacterial small subunit ribosomal RNA", at positions 28 to 507 of the family's 1533-position model. The record is from RNAcentral.
GACGAACGCUGGCGGCGUGCUUAACACAUGCAAGUCGAACGAUGAAGCCAGCUUGCUGGUGGCUUAGUGGCGAACGGGUGAGUAACACGGGGGUGAUCUGCCCCAAACUUUGGGAUAAGCCUGGGAAACUGGGUCUAAUACCGAAUAUGACCGAUACUCGCAUGGGUGUUGGUGGAGAGCUCCGGCGGCUUGGGCUGGGCCCGCGGCCUAUCAGCUUGUUGGUGGGGUAAUGGCCUACCAAGGCGACGACGGGUAGCCGGCCUGAGAGUGGGACCGGCCACACGGGGACUGAGAGACGGACCAGACUCCUACGGGAGGCAGCAGUGGGGAAUAUUGCACAAUGGGCGCAAGCCUGAUGCAGCGACGCCGCGUGAGGGAUGACGGCCUUCGGGUUGUAAACCUCUUUCACCAGGGACGAAGUGAAAGUGACGGUACCUGGAGAAGAAGCACCGGCCAACUACGUG